RNAcentral lists this ribosomal RNA (485 nucleotides) under uncultured bacterium. RNAcentral's name for it is "bacterial SSU rRNA". It matches the Rfam family "Bacterial small subunit ribosomal RNA", at positions 35 to 507 of the family's 1533-position model. The record is from RNAcentral.
GCUGGCGGCAGGCCUAACACAUGCAGGUCGAGCGGUAACAGAAAGAAAGCUUGCUUUCUUUGCUGACGAGCGGCGGACGGGUGAGUAAUGCCUGGGAAUAUGCCUUAGUGUGGGGGAUAACUAUUGGAAACGAUAGCUAAUACCGCAUAACGUCUUCGGACCAAAGAGGGGGACCUUCGGGCCUCUCGCGCUAAGAUUAGCCCAGGUGGGAUUAGCUAGUUGGUGAGGUAAAGGCUCACCAAGGCAACGAUCCCUAGCUGGUCUGAGAGGAUGAUCAGCCACACUGGAACUGAGACACGGUCCAGACUCCUACGGGAGGCAGCAGUGGGGAAUAUUGCACAAUGGGGGAAACCCUGAUGCAGCCAUGCCGCGUGUAUGAAGAAGGCCUUCGGGUUGUAAAGUACUUUCAGUCGUGAGGAAGGCAUUGUAGUUAAUAGCUGCAGUGCUUGACGUUAGCGACAGAAGAAGCACCGGCUAACUCCGUG